Molecule: ribosomal RNA, 1051 nt
Filed under: uncultured bacterium
Lineage: Bacteria
Description: bacterial SSU rRNA
Rfam family: Bacterial small subunit ribosomal RNA
Source: RNAcentral
AUGCAAGUCGAGGGGUAACAGGAAGUGCUUGCACUUCGCUGACGACCGGCGCACGGGUGAGUAUCGCGUAUACGAUCUGCCUCAUACUAGGGAAUAGCCCGAAGAAAUUUGGAUUAAUGCCCUAUAGUAUCUUUUUAAGGCAUCUUAUUAAGAUUAAAGCUUCGGUGGUAAAAGAUGAGCAUGCGUCCUAUUAGUUUGUAGGUGAGGUAACGGCUCACCUAGACUACGAUAGGUAGGGGCCCUGAGAGGGGGAUCCCCCACACUGGUACUGAGACACGGACCAGACUCCUACGGGAGGCAGCAGUGAGGAAUAUUGGACAAUGGACGAAAGUCUGAUCCAGCUAUGCCGCGUGCAGGAUGACAGCCCUACGGGUUGUAAACUGCUUUUAUACAGGAAGAAAAACCCCGACGUGUCGGGGCUUGACGGUACUGUAAGAAUAAGGAUCGGCUAACUCCGUGCCAGCAGCCGCGGUAAUACGGAGGAUCCAAGCGUUAUCCGGAAUUAUUGGGUUUAAAGGGUCCGCAGGCGGUUUUUUAAGUCAGAGGUGAAAUCCUACAGCUCAACUGUAGAAUUGCCUUUGAAACUGAAAGACUUGAGUUAUUGUGAAGUGGUUAGAAUGUGUGGUGUAGCGGUGAAAUGCAUAGAUAUCACACAGAAUACCAAUUGCGAAGGCAGAUCACUAACAAUUAACUGACGCUCAGGGACGAAAGCGUGGGUAGCGAACAGGAUUAGAUACCCUGGUAGUCCACGCCGUAAACGAUGGAUACUAGCUGUAUGUCUACCUCAGGUAGAUGUGUGGCCAAGCGAAAGUGAUAAGUAUCCCACCUGGGGAGUACGAUCGCAAGAUUGAAACUCAAAGGAAUUGACGGGGGCCCGCACAAGCGGUGGAGCAUGUGUUUAUUCGAUGAUACGCGAGGAACCUUACCAGGCUUAAUGUAACGGGACAGGUCUAGAGAUAGACCCUUCUCGGACUCAUACAGUGCUGCAUGUGUCGUCAGCUCGUGCGUGAGUGUCAGUAGUCUAUACGAGCGCAACCCCAUCGUUAGUUGC